RNAcentral lists this long non-coding RNA (216 nucleotides) under Mytilus galloprovincialis (Mediterranean mussel). Lineage: Eukaryota; Metazoa; Mollusca; Bivalvia; Mytilida; Mytilidae. The record is from RNAcentral.
GAAAAAAAGAGAUCAAACAUCUAAAUUAAUUAGCAGUAAUCAAAAUUUUAAAACUAUUUAAUCUUAUAUAAUCUUUUCAUUGAUCAUGUUGUUUUAUUGACUGGGGUUAUAAUAUUUUUAAAACACCUGUCAAAACUUGACAACAUUAUUUAAUUGCUACACACCCAUACUUAAUCCUUAAUUACCCCUCUUGAUUACCUAUGCAGGAUGUCACAC